This 366-nucleotide ribosomal RNA is filed under the name Triticum aestivum (bread wheat). RNAcentral describes it as "partial small subunit ribosomal RNA". Lineage: Eukaryota; Viridiplantae; Streptophyta; Magnoliopsida; Poales; Poaceae. The record is from RNAcentral.
AUGAACAUGGCCCUGAUGUUACGGUAGGUCUGGAGGAUCAUGCAAGGGGAGGGGGGAUUGUGGCUGCAGCUUCUGCAAGCUAAGUAUUUACGGGGCGAGCCCCUCCUUGUUUGGUCACGCACGGAGGGAUCCCAGUUCUGGAAGUCCAUCCAACGGAUUAAGCAGGAAAUCCUCCUUGGAGUGUCCUUCUCUAUAGGCAGUGGAGAAGGCACUCUAUUCUGGUUUGAUCCAUGGGUUGGGGGAGCCUUGCUAUAUCCGGGAUUCCCAAACUUGUAUGCUAUUUACGCUGACCCGAUGGUGUUGGUCUCCACAACUGCUACAAUGUACAGUGGAACAUCUUGUUCCGUCAACCGUUUGGAAAAGUGA